Molecule: long non-coding RNA, 1775 nt
Organism: Lycium barbarum (goji berry)
Lineage: Eukaryota; Viridiplantae; Streptophyta; Magnoliopsida; Solanales; Solanaceae
Exons: 2
Source: RefSeq, a predicted model, not a curated record
AGGCCAAUCCGCAAAUGAAGUUUCUGGGCCAGUAACUUGGUUUCAGCAAAACCUAUUAUUGGGCCUCCAUCUAAAAUGAACUGCCCAUGUACAUAUCAUUUGCUUGCUAAAAACUGCAGUGGCAGUGACACCACUUUCAAACCUAACUCUCUCUCUCUCUCUCUCUCUCUCUCAAGUGUGUGUGUGUGAGAGAGAGAGAGAGAUAGAAAUGAAUCUCAAAAUUAUAUGUAAAUCGAAUGUCCCAAUCUUUGGUCCACUUCUCCUUUUCUGCAAGUUCCGUACAAGAGUGUUUUGAAAUGGAUUGAUGACACAAAUGAUGCCACAGAACCUCAUUUCCAUGAAGUACAAAAACUUUGCCUGAUUGGAAAGCUAUAUUGCUCGGAUUCUCUAAAACUGUUGUCGUACCUGUCUCAGAUCCUCUGAAAAUGCAAUACCUUCGGAGGAUCAGACUCGGACCAGCAACAUUUUGGAAGAGGCCGAGCAACAUAGUUGGAAAGCAGAUUGUGCAAACAUCAGUGCAAGGAUGGUAAUAUGUCUCAGAGUUGCUCGAUAUCUAUGCUUGUGGGAGGUAGCUGGCCCGGAAAGAAUGGUAAUAUGUCCCGUUCUUUUUAGGGGAAAUCGGAACAGACAGGCGAAGAAGGGUCUAGCGUAGCUAGAGUAGUAAAAAGUAUGAUUUAUCAAGCUCCGUCAUAUCAAGGAAGGCAUGUUUCACAAUGGUCUGAGUUGACACGUCACUCUCAGUAACCUAUCCUAAAAGGACGCCACUCAUAUAACGGGAAUCUAUGUCGUGGGAAAAGCCAAGUUAACGAUUUUAAGAGCUAGGGCGUUCGGAUCCUUCUGCUUCAUCAUGCUCAAAAUUGACAGAGUCCCCGUUUUUUCAUGAUACAACGGAGCCUCGGUCAAUUUUUGAACGUGACGAAGCAGAAGGAUGCUGACGCCCUUGCUCUUAAGCUUGCUAACUUUCUUGACUCUUCUCGAGAUGUUGAUUCAUGUAAUAUGUGUGGGGUCCUAUUCCCAAGGUUAGCCAUUUAUAAUGGCUUGUGAACUAAGUCAUUCUUAGUAACCUACCCAAAAGGAGGACACCAUGCAUAUAACGGGAAUCUCUGUCAUGGGAAGAGCUAAGUAAGUUAGCAAGCUUAAGAGCUAGGGUGUUGGGAUCCUUCUGCUUCAUCAUGUUCAAAGUUGACAGAGUCCAUUUUUUCAUGAUAUUAACGGAGCUUCAGUCAAUUUUGAACGUGACGAAAGCAGAAGGAUCCCGACUCCCUCGCUCUUAAGCUUGCUAACUUUUUGGUUCUUCCUACGACAUUGAUUCAUAUGAUAUGUCUCGUGUCCUAAUUUCAAGGUUGGUCAUUAAGAAUGACUCGUAUCUCGGGAAUCUAUGUCUUGGGAAGAGCCAAGUAAGUUAACAAUUUUAAGAGCUAUGGCGUUCGGAUCCUUCUGCUUCAUUAUGCUCAAAAUUGACAGAGUCCCCGUUUUCUCAUGAUAUCAAUGGAGCCUCAGUCAAUUUUUUAACGUGACGAAGCAGAAGGAUACUGACGCCCUUGUCUUAAGUUUGCUAACUUUCUUGGCUCUUCCCAUGAUAUUGAUUCAUGUCAUAUAUGUGUGAUGUCCUCCUUUGAGGAUUAGUCAUUGAGAAUGCGAAAUAGUUCUUCACAUGGCUGUUUUAAACAUUUAAUUUUCUCUCUAAAUGACUCACUUGAACUAUUACUUUACCAUUCUUGUAUUGAUGUUUGUUAAUUCAUGGCUGUACAUGAUGGGAUUACUAUAAUUUUCUA